RNAcentral lists this long non-coding RNA (930 nucleotides) under Papio anubis (olive baboon). RNAcentral describes it as "lncRNA (ENSPANG00000046754.1)". The record is from RNAcentral. Lineage: Eukaryota; Metazoa; Chordata; Mammalia; Primates; Cercopithecidae.
CAAACCAUAUCAGAAGAAGUACUGAAGAGUCACUCAAAGCAAGUAAAUACCAUGUAUCUGAGUUACUGUUAGAUACUCUUUGAAGAAGCCUUUGAAUAAAGAGUACAUUUCUGGAAACACGUGGUUAGUCAGGUGGUGACUAAAGUGGUUGCUCACAGGCACAACUGACUGCAGGCUCCACAGAGCAGCUUUUGGAGUCUAAGAUCACUGCCAAAAAAAGAACAGAGGUAUGGGAGGGCCCUUUCUGAUUAUAACUGUAAAACUCUCAAGAGAUGAGCUUCAGACAGAGGAGAGAUCACUAUCCCUAGUUUUCAGAAAAGCAGCUUACGCCUCAAGACUUUUAAACAUUUUGCCCAUAGUUUCAUAAAAAGUUACUGGUAGAAUGGUGGCUAGCUCCAGCUGUUUUUUUUUUCCCCCUAGGGCGAUGUUCUCUACACUGCACUAAAUGGAGAACAGCUCCACUGCUUCUUUUCUCCUGAGCACAUUGUCUGUGAACAAAUGUUUAGAAAAGAGAAAACAUUUCAAUGAAAGAGGAAACAGGAAAUUCCAACAGAUCAGCAACAGUUGGAGUGCUAACCUGUCAGUGGAAUGGAAAAAAGAAAAAAUGCUCUUGUUGACACAUCUUUUCCUUGUUUUUGACACAAAUUAGAAUUGAGUUUGUUUUUGCCCAUCUGAAAUAUCUGUAAAGAUAUAAAAUAUCUGUAAAGACUCUGAGGAUGGAACAGAUACUUCGUAGUUUUCUUCAAACUUGUAUAGCUCAAGGGGUAACUAUUUCCUUCUGCAUGGACUGUCACCCUCCCUCCCGUCAGACCCUGCCCCUGUGCUUGCCUUCAAGCCUUCAUACCUUCAAAACAUCUUGCUCUGGUCACCUUUUAUAGGUGACCUUUCCCCAUCUUAAUUUCCCUAUUCUGUGUUUUGUGGCACACUGAU